UACGAAGGGUGCAAGCGUUAAUCGGAAUUACUGGGCGUAAAGCGCGCGUAGGUGGUUCAGUAAGUUGGAAGUGAAAUCCCCGGGCUCAACCUGGGAACUGCUUUCAAAACUGCUGAGCUAGAGUACGGUAGAGGGUGGCGGAAUUUCCUGUGUAGCGGUGAAAUGCGUAGAUAUAGGAAGGAACACCAGUGGCGAAGGCGACCACCUGGACUGAUACUGACACUGAGGUGCGAAAGCGUGGGGAGCAAACAGG
RNAcentral lists this ribosomal RNA (253 nucleotides) under uncultured bacterium. Its description in RNAcentral is "partial 16S ribosomal RNA". It matches the Rfam family "Bacterial small subunit ribosomal RNA", at positions 524 to 776 of the family's 1533-position model. The record is from RNAcentral.